CGCUUGCUACAGGAACCCCCAGGCGUGUUCGUGUACGCAGAAACGCGUCGGUAACGCAGACCCGCGCUCGAGCAGCAGCACAGCUCCCGGUGCGCCGGUCCUUCCCGCUUGUUAAAUUUCCCGUUUCCGAGAAGCGGGUUGUAAACGGUUCAGCCAGCCCCCCUCUCACCGCUUGGCCAACCCCUGGCAGCACCGCUGUCUGAACCAGGGAAAGCUGGUGCCUCGGGAGCCGGGAAGGGCGUCGGGGCGUCCGGCAGAGCCCCUGCGUGUGCCGACGCCUGCUCUUCCCUUGCAGCUCCGCUGCUCCCCUGCGGCCGGGGACGGCCUGGUCGCCGGCACUCGCAGGCCAAGGUUUCGCUCUAAAUGGCCGUGUGAAGCUGCACUGAAAAUAAAAUCCAGUUUGGAGAUUGACGGUAGAAGGUGAAGCUUAACCGACCUAUCAGUCUUCAUUAUGGACAGCAGCAUAGCACAGAGAUACGGGGACAGCCACUGUGUCUCACUGCCCUUUCUCUAAAACCUCCUAUAGAAUCCAUGGCUGGAGGCUAACUGCCACCCACUGUCGUUCUUUUGCUGUCUUCGUGGGAGAGUGGUUCCUGCAUGACAUCUCUCCUUAUGUUGUUAGAUGAAGAAGUCAGCUACAGUGUGCUUAUGACAGUCCUUUACCUAAAGGCCGAUGAAACGCUCUCUACUUUCUGCUCUGUACUGAAGACAGCAGCAAAGGAUGUCACCCAUGUGUUGAGCUUAAGAAUCAAAUGAGCAGUUUGUCAUCUGAAAUGCCUGCAGGGAAAGCCCAAUGACACAGAGCAAUAACGCUUUUCCGUGCUACUGACAAGAAUGAUUCAGUGACCCUCACUAACGCAACCUGCUGAAGUGCUUUCCUCAGCAAGCACGAACUUUGGGAGAGAUGAGCUGGCAAGCCCAGCUGGGUCCCACUGGGAUGUGCUGGAAUAUGUUUUAUUUAUUCUGGGAUUAGAUUUGUAGGUUUUGAUUCAAUCAAUAGAUCUGAUGACUUAAUGUACUAGCUGGGAAGACACAGCCAGUUUCUGAAGCUUCCCUUUCAUGCCUGCUGUCGCCUGCUCUCCUCUUGCCGGUUUAGCCAGGUCGUCACCAGAGCACAAGGGCUCAACCUCUGCAAGGACAGGAGUAACUCUCCAAGUGCAGUGACUGGCUUUUAGGUUAGAACACGCUGCAGAGAGUGUGGUGUUAUUCAUAAUAAUAACGAUUGAAUCUUAACCAUUAGAGGGCUUCUUCCGUCCUACUUGUAGGUGGAGCAUUUUGUCAUAUGUCAAAGAGAACUGAUGAGCAAAGC
RNAcentral lists this long non-coding RNA (1309 nucleotides) under Apteryx rowi (Okarito brown kiwi). Its description in RNAcentral is "lncRNA (ENSARWG00000008653.1)". The record is from RNAcentral. Lineage: Eukaryota; Metazoa; Chordata; Aves; Apterygiformes; Apterygidae.